CAUAUACUCCCUCCGUCCCAUAUCAAGUGUCGAAAUGUUACAUGUAUCUAGACACUUUUAAAAUAUAAAUACAUUCAUAUUUGGACAAAUCUGAGACACUUAAUAUGGGACGGGAGGAGUACAAC
Non-coding RNA from Brachypodium distachyon (stiff brome), 125 nucleotides. Lineage: Eukaryota; Viridiplantae; Streptophyta; Magnoliopsida; Poales; Poaceae. The record is from Rfam.